GACGAACGCUGGCGGCGUGCCUAAUACAUGCAAGUAGGACGCAGUUGUGAAUGGGGGAGUAACGCGUUGGUAACUGCCUAUUAGAGGGGGAUAACCAUUGGAAACGAUAGCUAAUUCCGUAUACUAGUAGAUGGAACUGCGUUGUAUUAGCUAGUAGGUAGGGUAAUGGCCUACCUGGGCAACGAUACAUAGCCGGCCUGCAAGGGUGAUCGGCCGCACUGGGACUGGGGCACGGCCCAAACUCCUACGGGAGGCAGCAGGGGGGAAUCUUGUGCAAUGGGGGGAACCCUGACCGAGCAACGCCGCGUGAGUGAUGAAGGUUUUCAGAUCGUAGAGCUCUGUUGUUAAGGAGGCGGUACUUGACCAGAAAGGGACGGCUAACUACGUGCCAGCAGCCGCGGUAAUUC
This 407-nucleotide ribosomal RNA is filed under the name uncultured bacterium. Its description in RNAcentral is "partial 16S ribosomal RNA". It matches the Rfam family "Bacterial small subunit ribosomal RNA", at positions 28 to 526 of the family's 1533-position model. The record is from RNAcentral.